This 67-nucleotide transfer RNA is filed under the name Ictidomys tridecemlineatus (thirteen-lined ground squirrel). Its description in RNAcentral is "Spermophilus tridecemlineatus (thirteen-lined ground squirrel) tRNA". It matches the Rfam family "tRNA". Rfam says of the family: Transfer RNA (tRNA) molecules are approximately 80 nucleotides in length. Their secondary structure includes four short double-helical elements and three loops (D, anti-codon, and T loops). The record is from Rfam by way of RNAcentral. Lineage: Eukaryota; Metazoa; Chordata; Mammalia; Rodentia; Sciuridae.
GGUUGUGGCUCAGCGGUAGAGCGCUCGCCUUGCAUGUGAGAGGCCCUGGGUUCUAUCCUCAGCACCA